GGCCAGCGUCUGAACUAUAUUAUGUCAAACAUGACUCAAGUUGAUGAUGUCGAUUUAGGGCGGGAAUGUCUUCUCAAGGGGCUGUGUGUGCACCUCAAUGAGGACCCACAAGAUCUGCUGAAAGAGUUUGUGGCAGAAGAUGAAGACGUCAUUCUGCGGUCCAUUCAGGGGAUUACAGUGGGACUUUAUGUCGUCAAACACAAUUCCACCAUGAGACCAGAGUACAGAUGAGACCAGAGGACAGAUUGUCCUGGAAGGCCAACAGGUACUAACUGAUGUGGACAACAUUGCAUUAGCUGCUACCAUGUUAUUUGGACUAAUGUUUGCAAUGAACCUGAACUACCCACCUAAACUGAAGUGCACGUUCA
Molecule: long non-coding RNA, 368 nt
Organism: Notothenia coriiceps (black rockcod)
Lineage: Eukaryota; Metazoa; Chordata; Actinopteri; Perciformes; Nototheniidae
Exons: 3
Source: RefSeq, a predicted model, not a curated record